AACUGAAAAGACAUUCGCCAUUAUUUAGAUCUAAAAACAUAGAUAUUACUCUCUUCCUUAUUGGUCAACAUUUUGAGAAGACACUUAUUUUACUCAUACACCGUACUUCAUGCGGGAAAAAAAUUUAAAUUUUAAGCUUUCUUCAUGAUCUCUUCAACGAGCUAAUAACCACGGACUUACACAUGUACAAAUAACAGCUCAUCCGAUUGAGUACUUGAAAUUGGUACAUCACAACUCCAAAAAUUAAUCAUAGUAUAAGUUACAUAGUACUCUGUGCGAAAAGUUCAUAAAAUAAUAUAUAAAACAACAACCCAGAUAUAAUCUCACUUAGUGGGGUCUGGGGAGAGUAGUGUGUACGCAGACCUUACCCCUACCCUUGAGUAGAGAGGCUGUUUCCAAAUAGACCCUCGACAUCCUUCCC
RNAcentral lists this long non-coding RNA (421 nucleotides) under Nicotiana benthamiana. RNAcentral describes it as "long non-coding RNA (NBEN_LNC033215)". Lineage: Eukaryota; Viridiplantae; Streptophyta; Magnoliopsida; Solanales; Solanaceae. The record is from RNAcentral.